Peromyscus maniculatus bairdii (prairie deer mouse) is the source of this 2875-nucleotide non-coding RNA. The record is from RefSeq and is a predicted model, not a curated record. NCBI's taxonomy places the organism in Eukaryota, Metazoa, Chordata, Mammalia, Rodentia, Cricetidae.
AAGUCCCAGAUUUCAAACAGCCAACUCAUGCAAUGAGCACAGGACCUGGUACCACUGCCUAGAUGCCUCCCAAACAGAUCAAGCCAAUCAACUGUCUCACCUAUUCAGAGGGCCUGAGAGGAUCAGUAUCUUGAUACACUUGGAGCCCAUUUAGAAAGAUGGGCCACAAAUAAUGAUUAAGGGUUUGGAGCUGGGAAGUGGCUCCCUUGCUAAAAAUGAAUUCUACACAAGUUUAAGGACUUGAAUUGAGAUCCUUAGCAAUCUCAUUUUUUUUUAAAAAAAGAUGGACACUAGCCUGUAAUAGUAAAUAGUAAAGAUGAGCCCAGAUCUUAUCGACGAAACAGGAAGACCCAUGGAGCUUUCUAACCAGCUGCUGUAUCAAUGAGCUCCAUGUUCAGUAAGAGAUUCCAAAAAAUCUGAACGGUUAGGAAGAUGAAUAAAAGUUAAGUGAUCAAUGCACAAGUAUAAGGACCCACAUAAAAAAUCUAGGCAGGCAUGGAGCCUCCUACAAUCCUAACCCUUGAGAGGCAGAGACAGGACCACCAUUGGCUAAGCUAGCCAGCCAGAUAAGCUGAAUAGACAACUUCCAGAUUCAGUAAGAGAUAGAAAAUGCCCAAUAGCAACCUCUGGUCAGCAUGCGUAUACAACUCAAGCUUCAUCAAAGGUAGCCUUUGAAGGAACUCGGGCCAGAGAGGUUUCUCUGGAAAGGAUUAUUUGUAAACUAGUUGGGCUCAGAGUGUGUGGGCGCAUUAAUGUAACUGGUAGGGAAUCCUCUGGGAUCUCAGUGAAACAUUAAAGUACAGGCAACAGGUGUCUAGUAUGGGAAUGUCCUAAAAGCACCGUAAUAUGAAAUAAACACCAGAAAGGGUAGUGUCACUAUGAACUAGAACAUGGCUAAUAAGGCAUUAAGACACUUUGAUCCUUAGUUUGUGUAUAACGUGACAAAAAUGAGGUAGUUGGUUUAAUGUCAACUUGGAUUGUUUGGUCGUGUGACGGAAUUUUCCUCCAUGGGAAUUGGAAGCACACUUCGGGUACAAAUCUUCCCCUCCUGUGUAGUGCACUCGCCUGUGAGGCCACGUGCGGUUAGAGCACUUCAGUUACUAGACUAAUGCUCAGACAGUUGAUGUCUCACAACGAUGAGUUCUUGGGAAGCAGUGAAACAGUUCUCUUUUGGGGGGGAUUUCACAUCAUGCACCCCAGUCCCACUCAUCUCCAAGGCCCUUCGCAUCUGCCCCUUCCUCCUGUAGUGCCCGCCACCCCCAGGAGGAAAGCUAAAAAAUAUUUUUUAAAAGAUAAACAAGAAAAGAAAAACACUUGGUUCCUCUGCCUUUCCCGCCUCUCCAUUGCCUCUCCCUUCACCUUACUGGCAUUGGGAGCUGCUGUGUAUCCCGCAGUAGACCAUUUUGUCUAACCUGCUUCACUUGCAAAUGUACAGUGUGUAAUGAGUUGCUAGUCAGAUUCAAGACCUCUGGCUUUGGUACACCAUCAGUACUGGACCCCCACCGACAUUCCUCCCCCAUCCCCUGCUGUUGUCUGGAGUGAUGGAGAUGCUGCACUAUGGUUCCACAGGAUCAGUCCCUUCGCGCUCCAGCAGGCCAUAGAUGGAGUUAGGUGUUGGGGUGUGCCAACUCCAAGCUGCAUGUGUUCCGGGGUAGCAGCUGAGCUGUUUGCAUCAGGAGGCUGGGACCACUCCACUCAGCAUUCUCAUGGACCCCUGUGGUAACAGGCAGUGGAUAUCCACACAAACGUCAGCUGCUGCAGGACGGCGACCCAGACAUGGCAGCAGCUUGAGGCUGGAUGUCACCAUGGCCCCAGGUGGCAGUGCAGGCCUCUCAGAUCCGGAUGGGCCCAGCAGCAGCGUGGCCCCAGGGCUUUCCAAACUGGCCCCAUGUGAUGAUUCAGACCCUGUCCAGUACUGUGCGUGUCCUCUCCCCUCCCCCCCCCCGCCACACACACACACACACACACACACACACACACACACACACACGGCAACAGGAACAACGGACUUUAACACAGACUCUAGCUGUGGCAGGGCCACGGACACAAUGGUCCCCAGCCAAAGCUCGGGCAUGGAUGUGUCCAUGGCCCCGGGUAGCUGCACAAUCCACGCUGAUCUCUAUGGCCCCAGUGGCAGCGUGACACUCGGGCACCAACAUAGCCUGGUAUAAACUUGAGAGUCACAGCACAAAAGGGGGGGAAAGGAUUGAUGAAAUCUUCCAAUAAAUUAAAAACAAAAUACUUCUAAUGUGUCCAUAACCAAAGGAUACUACAUUGUGACUGGAAAGCAAUGAGUAUUCUUGUAAGGAAAUUUAGCUAAGUACUAUACUGCAUUAGCAUUUUAGACAGGAAAAGCAUGACCCUCCAUAAAUGCCUCUUGCAUAUGAUAAAACUUAGUGCCCAGUCCUGAUUCUAAAGGCAGCCUCUCCAAUCAACAGAGCAAAACCAAAUUACUCUAGAAAAGAUGCUGAGGCAAUCGGAUAAUCAGGUAGAGGGAAGAAGUUAAUUGGACCCGUACUUUAUACCAUACACCAAGUCAAAGUUGGGUCAAAGAUUCAGAAUUUAUGUCUAUAGCUUGUUUCAAAUCAAAGUCAUUUAAGAAUUUUAGGUAAAACUAGGAAUCCAUAUAAUAAAUGAACUUUAGUUUCAUAAAAAUCAUGGUUUCUUACAUGGCUUAACCAAGUCAAAUCAACCACAGAAGAAAACAUUUGCAAUGUAAUUAACAGAUGGCUACUUUCCCUAAAACCAAAUAAGAUUCUAUGGCUGAAAACUGAAGUUUCUUUGACACCUAAAUCUCUUACAAGGAGAACCUUACAUGUCUUGGACUAAUUGGACUUAAUUGAGAAAUAAACACUUCUUGUUUAUGUCAUUGCUA